UGACCCUAAAACUAAAUAAGAAAACCCUUAUACGAAACUGUUUUCUUGACAAAUUGAUUGAAAUCUAAUGGAAAAGAUUUGUCUCUCUAAUAUCUUUCUCUUGUGCUUCUUCCCGUUUCUCUUUUCUUUUGUUUCCACUUUUUUUUCUUAGUUAAUCUCACGCUUCCUAAUCUCACAGAUCUUGUCUCUCUAAUCUCUUUCUUCAUCACCACUAAACCUUUGUCACCAUCGACCUCGUCUUCAUCUCCACCACAGCACGUCGUCCUCACCACCAUAGCUCGCGUCAUCACCACCAUAGCUUAUCUGUUCUCGCAUCGUCAUCACCACUACGAAAGUUCUAUUCUUAGUUAAAAAAAAAGCAGAGGGUUUUGUUGCUAGCCACCUUGAGUUAUUUAUGCUUGAGGAUGACUAUAUUCAAAUUAGGGAAGGUUCACAGAAAAUGGCUCAAUCUUAGGGAUUAAAGAAGAGAACAGAGGCUUGAGGCGGAUACUCUGGAGUAAGGAUGUUAAAAUGGGUUUCGGUUCGCGGGUUUUUAAUGGAUUUCUCAAAAAGAUAAAUGCCCGUUUAGACCCAUUUAGUUUAGUGGGUUUGAAAUGUGUAGUUUUAUUAAAACUCAUUUAAUAAAUGAAAUUUUACUUUAAAUUAGUGAGGACCCUAUUAACUCAUUUAACUUAAUAUAAUUAAAUAUUUUUUUUUGAAAAAUGUGAUUGUGUGGUUUUGACAGAAAAAUUUGAUAUAAUGGUUUUGGCGGAAAAUUUUGAUUUUUACGGUUUUAACGGGAGAAUUCAAUUUUAUGGUUUUGGCGGGAAACUCAGUUUUACGGUUUUGGCAGGAAACUUGGUUUUACAAUUUUGACGGAAAAUUCGGUUUUACGAUUUUGAUGGAAAAUUCAAUUUUACGGUUUUGGCGAAACAAUUUUAUUUGAGUUUAUAUAAUAAAAAAUCAGUUAAAAUUUUUAUUUGUUUCGUUUAAUUUUUUAUAAGGGAGUAUAAAGUUAAAAUAAUUAAAAAUUAAAUCAAUAAUAGUUUAAAUGGAUCUAAAUGAGUCUGAAUGGAUAUAUGUAAACUUCAGGGGUUCUAAAUGGAUAUCCUAAUAGACCUAUUUUUACAUGGAUUUAAAUGGGUAUGGGUUCUAAAUGUGGUGGGUCUAAAAUGGGAUGGGUUUAAAUGUGGUAGAUUUUAUCAUUUUAACAUCCAUACUCUAGAGGUUGGAGCGGAGGAUUAGGGUUACAAAGCUGGAGGUGGUGGUUCUGGGAGCGGCUUAGGUUUUAUUUUUAGGACCUUAGGUUAAUUAUGUUUUGGUUUAAUUUUUUUAAUUAGUUUUUUGGUUUAAUGUGUUCUUUAGUUAUUUGUAUAUUGAUUCUAAUUAAUAAAUAAAUUUUGAUUUUUAAUUAUGAAUUAGUUUGCGAUUUUA
Molecule: long non-coding RNA, 1413 nt
Organism: Raphanus sativus (radish)
Lineage: Eukaryota; Viridiplantae; Streptophyta; Magnoliopsida; Brassicales; Brassicaceae
Exons: 3
Source: RefSeq, a predicted model, not a curated record